GACGAACGCUGGCGGCGUGCUUAACACAUGCAAGUCGAACGAAGAGCGAUGGAAGCUUGCUUCUAUCAAUCUUAGUGGCGAACGGGUGAGUAACGCGUAAUCAACCUGCCCUUCAGAGGGGGACAACAGUUGGAAACGACUGCUAAUACCGCAUACGAUCUAAUCUCGGCAUCGAGGAAAGAUGAAAGGUGGCCUCUAUUUAUAAGCUAUCACUGAAGGAGGGGAUUGCGUCUGAUUAGCUAGUUGGAGGGGUAACGGCCCACCAAGGCGAUGAUCAGUAGCCGGUCUGAGAGGAUGAACGGCCACAUUGGGACUGAGACACGGCCCAGACUCCUACGGGAGGCAGCAGUGGGGAAUCUUCCGCAAUGGACGAAAGUCUGACGGAGCAACGCCGCGUGAGUGAUGACGGCCUUCGGGUUGUAAAGCUCUGUUAAUCGGGACGAAAGGCCUUCUUGCGAACAGUUAGAAGGAUUGACGGCACCGGAAUAGAAAGCCACGGCUAACUACGUG
RNAcentral lists this ribosomal RNA (510 nucleotides) under uncultured bacterium. Its description in RNAcentral is "partial 16S ribosomal RNA". It matches the Rfam family "Bacterial small subunit ribosomal RNA", at positions 28 to 507 of the family's 1533-position model. The record is from RNAcentral.